This 448-nucleotide ribosomal RNA is filed under the name uncultured bacterium. RNAcentral's name for it is "bacterial SSU rRNA". It matches the Rfam family "Bacterial small subunit ribosomal RNA", at positions 328 to 793 of the family's 1533-position model. The record is from RNAcentral.
GAGCCAGACUCCUACGGGAGGCAGCAGUGGGGGAUAUUGCACAAUGGGGGAAACCCUGAUGCAGCGACGCCGCGUGAGUGAAGAAGUAUUUCGGUAUGUAAAGCUCUAUCAGCAGGGACGAAAAUGACGGUACCUGAGUAAGAAGCCCCGGCUAACUACGUGCCAGCAGCCGCGGUAAUACGUAGGGGGCAAGCGUUAUCCGGAUUUACUGGGUGUAAAGGGAGCGUAGACGGCGAAGCAAGUCUGAAGUGAAAACCCGGGGCUCAACCCUGGGACUGCUUUGGAAACUGUUUUGCUAGAGUGUCGGAGAGGUAAGUGGAAUUCCUAGUGUAGCGGUGAAAUGCGUAGAUAUUAGGAGGAACACCAGUGGCGAAGGCGGCUUACUGGACGAUAACUGACGUUGAGGCUCGAAAGCGUGGGGAGCAAACAGGAUUAGAUACCCUUGUAG